CGGCGCAGCUGUCGGGAGGGCG
Molecule: microRNA, 22 nt
Filed under: Bos taurus (domestic cattle)
Lineage: Eukaryota; Metazoa; Chordata; Mammalia; Artiodactyla; Bovidae
Description: bta-miR-2436-5p
Source: miRBase by way of RNAcentral